GAUGAACGCUGGCGGCGUGCCUAAUACAUGCAAGUCGAGCGAAUGGAUUAAGAGCUUGCUCUUAUGAAGUUAGCGGCGGACGGGUGAGUAACACGUGGUAACCUGCCCAUAAGACUGGGAUAACUCCGGGAAACCGGGGCUAAUACCGGAUAACAUUUUGAACCGCAUGGUUCGAAAUUGAAGGGCGGCUUCGGCUGUCACUUAUGGAGGGAACCGCGUCGCAUUAGCUAGUUGGUGAGGUAACGGCUCACCAAGGCAACGAUGCGUAGCCGACCUGAGAGGGUGAUCGGCCACACUGGGACUGAGACACGGCCCAGACUCCUACGGGAGGCAGCAGUAGGGAAUCUUCCGCAAUGGACGAAAGUCUGACGGAGCAACGCCGCGUGAGUGAUGAAGGCUUUCGGGUCGUAAAACUCUGUUGUUAGGGAAGAACAAGUGCUAGUUGAAUAAGCUGGCACCUUGACGGUACCUAACCAGAAAGCCACGGCUAACUACGUGCCAGCCGCCGCAGUAA
This 514-nucleotide ribosomal RNA is filed under the name uncultured bacterium. RNAcentral describes it as "partial 16S ribosomal RNA". It matches the Rfam family "Bacterial small subunit ribosomal RNA", at positions 28 to 523 of the family's 1533-position model. The record is from RNAcentral.